This 468-nucleotide ribosomal RNA is filed under the name uncultured bacterium. RNAcentral describes it as "partial 16S ribosomal RNA". It matches the Rfam family "Bacterial small subunit ribosomal RNA", at positions 28 to 507 of the family's 1533-position model. The record is from RNAcentral.
GACGAACGCUGGCGGCGUGCUUAACACAUGCAAGUCGAACGGAAAGGCCCUGCUUUUGUGGGGUGCUCGAGUGGCGAACGGGUGAGUAACACGUGAGUAUCCUGCCCUUGACUUUGGGAUAACUUCAGGAAACUGGGGCUAAUACCGGAUAGGAGCUCUUGCUGCAUGGUGGGGGUUGGAGAGUUUCGGCGGUUGGGGAUGGACUCGCGGCUUAUCAGCUUGUUGGUGGGGUAGUGGCAUACCAAGGCUUUGACGGGUAGCCGGCCUGGGAGGGGGAACGGCCACCUUGGGACUGAGGUACGGCCCAGACUCCUACCGGAGGCAGCAGGGGGGAAUAUGGCGCAGUAGGCGGAAGCCUGAGGCAGCAACGCCGCGAGCGGGAUGACGGCCUUCGAGGUGUGAACCGCUUUCGCCGGUGACGAGGCGUGAGUGACGGUAAUGGGUAAAGAAGCACCGGCUAACUACGUG